UACGUAGGGGGCAAGCGUUGUCCGGAUUUAUUGGGCGUAAAGAGCGUGUAGGCGGUUUGGUAGGUCCGCUGUGAAAACUCGAGGCUCAACCUCGAGACGCCGGCGGAAACCAUCAGACUAGAGUCCGGAAGAGGAGAGUGGAAUUCCUGGUGUAGCGGUGAAAUGCGCAGAUAUCAGGAAGAACACCCGUGGCUAAGGCGGCUCUCUAGUACGGUACUGACGCUGAGACGCGAAAGCGUGGGGAGCGAACAGG
Molecule: ribosomal RNA, 253 nt
Filed under: uncultured bacterium
Lineage: Bacteria
Description: partial 16S ribosomal RNA
Rfam family: Bacterial small subunit ribosomal RNA
Source: RNAcentral